GAAAUGCGUACCAGAAUCUUCAUUGGGUUCAGUCUUCACCUGAAUGGAAGAGCAACUAGACAAACAGAGAAUAGACAAUUCUCGCCUGUUCUGCAAAGAGAACCUUUUCACAGAAAAAACCUGCACAAUCUGAGACCUAUACAAACAACAUGAAAGUGUUCCAGCAAUAAAAGAAUGUGACAACUUAUCUACAGUACUGCUGUAGGUGCUAGAUCA
Molecule: long non-coding RNA, 216 nt
Organism: Pantherophis guttatus
Lineage: Eukaryota; Metazoa; Chordata; Lepidosauria; Squamata; Colubridae
Source: RefSeq, a predicted model, not a curated record